RNAcentral lists this ribosomal RNA (253 nucleotides) under uncultured bacterium. Its description in RNAcentral is "partial 16S ribosomal RNA". It matches the Rfam family "Bacterial small subunit ribosomal RNA", at positions 524 to 776 of the family's 1533-position model. The record is from RNAcentral.
UACGUAGGGACCAAGCGUUGUUCGGAUUUACUGGGCGUAAAGGGCGCGUAGGCGGCAUGACAAGUCACUUGUGAAAUCUCUGGGCUUAACCCAGAACGGCCAAGUGAUACUGUCGCGCUAGAGUGCGGAAGGGGCAAUCGGAAUUCUCGGUGUAGCGGUGAAAUGCGUAGAUAUCGAGAGGAACACCUGAGGUGAAGACGGGUUGCUGGGCCGACACUGACGCUGAGGUGCGAAAGCGUGGGGAGCAAACAGG